RNAcentral lists this long non-coding RNA (315 nucleotides) under Suricata suricatta (meerkat). RNAcentral describes it as "lncRNA (ENSSSUG00005016561.1)". Lineage: Eukaryota; Metazoa; Chordata; Mammalia; Carnivora; Herpestidae. The record is from RNAcentral.
GUCCCAUAGUGGGUAGGAAUUGGCCUUCCUUUCUCUCUCCUUCUGUUUUCCAGCUGCCAGCUGCUCCUCUCAUGAAUAAGUUUUCUUCUGGUUUCAGUCCUGUGACUCUGCUUUCCAAGUGCUAUUGUACCCAGGCCAGCUGCUAUCAUAUGCAAACUAUUAGUCUGUUCUAGAAGGAUCACAGGGAACCAGCACUGAAGAAAUGAAAUUCAGCUAAUCCCUCCAAGAAACUGAAGUUUCAGGACAUUUGAAAGGCAGACACAGGCUGACUCCUGCCCACAGACCACCGAAAGCUAAAGUGUACCUGAAAGCCAU